CACUGUACUGGCCUGAAACUGGCAUAACCGCACAAAUAAACACAGCCUUCAGUCAGGCUGCCAGAAGCAAUAGUUUGGAACAAAUGGCAAAUAAAGGAGGAAUCAGCUGAAGCCGGUGAAAGAAUGUAUACUUGAAACCCAUCUGAGAAAUACUGUUAGAUCCCAAAGUUUCAGUGUGUGGAUUGCUUUGAAUGAUUCUAUAAAAGGUACAGAGAAGAGAAUUCAUCACCAGAUGGAAAAAGAACACGUUGGAUGCUGAUGUUGGAAGUCCAAAGCAGUGUCCAAAGCAUAUUCCCCCUACAGCCUCCAAAUUUGUCUGCCUUGGCAUAUGGCCAAGAGGGCCUUCUAGGCCAUCUCAUCUGCUGAGGAGAGCUCGU
Molecule: long non-coding RNA, 377 nt
Organism: Nothoprocta perdicaria
Lineage: Eukaryota; Metazoa; Chordata; Aves; Tinamiformes; Tinamidae
Exons: 3
Source: RefSeq, a predicted model, not a curated record